GCUUUGAAUGCUGCAAUUGAGGCAGCUCGUGCUGGAGAUGCGGGUAAAGGUUUUGCUGUUGUGGCUGAACAAGUGCGAAAACUUGCCGAAGAU
Molecule: transfer RNA, 93 nt
Filed under: Candidatus Lokiarchaeum ossiferum
Lineage: Archaea; Promethearchaeati; Promethearchaeota; Promethearchaeia; Promethearchaeales; Promethearchaeaceae
Description: tRNA-Ser
Source: RNAcentral